GACGAACGCUGGCGGCGCGCCUAAUACAUGCAAGUCGAACGAGUACGCACUUCGGUGCAAUGUACGAGCGGCGGACGGGUGAGUAACGCGUAGAAAUCUGCCUAGUAGUGGGGGAUAGCCCAGAGAAAUUUGGAUUAAUACCGCGUACGCCCUACGGGGGAAAGCAGGGGACCUUCGGGCCUUGCGCUAUUAGAUGAGCGUGCGUCGGAUUAGCUAGUUGGUGGGGUAAUGGCCUACCAAGGCGACGAUCCGUAGCUGGUCUGAGAGGAUGAUCAGCCACACUGGGACUGAGACACGGCCCAG
RNAcentral lists this ribosomal RNA (303 nucleotides) under uncultured Amphritea sp. Its description in RNAcentral is "bacterial SSU rRNA". It matches the Rfam family "Bacterial small subunit ribosomal RNA", at positions 28 to 334 of the family's 1533-position model. Lineage: Bacteria; Pseudomonadati; Pseudomonadota; Gammaproteobacteria; Oceanospirillales; Oceanospirillaceae. The record is from RNAcentral.